GGAAGUAAAAGUCGUAGCAAGGUUUCCGUGGGUGAACCUGCGGAAGGAUCAUUAUUGUAUAAUCGAGGUGCGAGGGCUGUCGCUGACCCGAAAGGUCGUGCACGCCCGAGUGCCCUCACACACAUCCAUCUCACCCCUAUGUGCACCACCGCGUGGGUCCCCCUUUGGCUUGUUCGGAGGGGGGCUUACGUUUUCACACAAACUUUGUAUGCAGUGUAGAAUGUAUUUUUUGUUUUUGCGAUCACGCAAUCAAUACAACUUUCAACAACGGAUCUCUUGGCUCUC
RNAcentral lists this unclassified non-coding RNA (285 nucleotides) under plant metagenome. RNAcentral describes it as "partial contains small subunit ribosomal RNA, internal transcribed spacer 1, and 5.8S ribosomal RNA". The stretch from base 1 to 54 matches the Rfam family "Eukaryotic small subunit ribosomal RNA", at positions 1778 to 1831 of the family's 1831-position model. The record is from RNAcentral.